GUGAAGGAAGGAAUAUAGCAUACUUUAUUCUUGUUAUCUACAAAAUAAUGCCAUCUUCUGUAGAUAUUAGCUUUACAUGAACAUGGAAAAAGCUCAGCUCAGAAUAUUUUGUAUUCUGCUUGAGUAACCAAUCCAAGGAUACAUUAGAGGAAACAGCUGUGAUGGAAGGUGAUGGUGGUGGUGGGGAGCAAGGAACUGGAUCUGUGAUUUCAUUAAUGAAGGGAACUACUGGUAAGGAACUUCUGCUGGUACAGAUUGAUAUCUUUUUCUAAAACUUAUGGUCUUAGAGGGUUUCUUGAGGCACUGAGAUGUGACUUGCCCAAGGUUACAAAGAUGAGAUGUCAGAGAUGAGAAUCGACCUCAG
Molecule: long non-coding RNA, 364 nt
Filed under: Phascolarctos cinereus (koala)
Lineage: Eukaryota; Metazoa; Chordata; Mammalia; Diprotodontia; Phascolarctidae
Description: lncRNA (ENSPCIG00000037079.1)
Source: RNAcentral